AUCUAGAGGGUGAAUGUGAAAGAUUGUUGUUCUGACAAACCUAGAGUACAGCUUUCUUAUUGGCUCUUAAUUCUGGAAAACAGAGUGACUCCUAAUAUCUUGACAUGUUUAUAUUUAUAUGUACACACAUAUCUUGGAAGGCAUCAUCUGUACUCACAUAGCACAUAAACCCUGUAAAAGUUUCAUCUAUGAAGAUUAUAUGCCUGAGAGAAAAGGGUAGAGUCUUAGAGAUCUAAACAUUUAAAGAGAUGGUUCUAAUAGGCAAAUUCACUGUCAACAACUUUUUCUUUAUUUCUUAUAAUCUGAGUAAAAUUUAAGAAAAAUCAAAUAGGUAUUUUGGCUGUUUGGUACCUGUUCUCACAAGACUGAUUUACUACAGAUACUCAUAGAACAUAGAAGUUGAUCUUCUUCACAAGAAGUCUGGCAUGACGAAAGUGUGAUCUAAAAGAAAAGAACUAAAUGAAGAAAGUAAAAAGUUCCAACCCUUUCCAGAUACUCAAAGUAAUAGGAACAGUCUUUCCUCCACUCCUUCUGUUCCCCACCCAAACAAUGCUUCUCACGAAAUAAACAUGUGACAAACAUCACAGAAGACACAUAACCAGAAUUACAAGGCUAUCAACUCUAGGAAAUGAAAUUGUAAGAGAAUCCAAGAUAUAAUAUCCAAGUUUCAGAACACAACUGGAGUUCCUUGAGACAGUAUUAUACCCAGAUAUUGUUGUGACUCCCAGACAACACUUCCUGGCAUUGAAUUACACUGGAUCAGGAACUGUUUUGUUCCCAAAGAUACCACAAUUUACUCCAGGAACAUUGACUAUUAUUCUGAAGAUAGAAUUACCACAACUCAAGCCUCAUAGGCAGAAAAAGGAAACCCACUGAACAGCAGAUUUAGCAGCAGACUCCCUGCUUCUGGACCUUGGUAUUUUUGUUCCAACAAUUAUGAAGGAGGCUGCAGCAAGCAUGAAGUUGGUUAGACAUUGAAGAUGUCAAAUUCAUCCACUGCAUCCUGGGCCAUUCCCUUGACUUUUGUCUUUACACUGGAUUUUGAUGUCUUUAGAGAAUAAAGGGGAUGACUUUGUUCAAUUGCCUGCUUAAAUCCAGUUCAUGUACCUGUGAUGUCUUCAAAAUCAAAGGAUGAACAAUAAAACAAUAAGGAAUUGUCCAUUCAUUGAACUGUGC
Molecule: long non-coding RNA, 1176 nt
Filed under: Sarcophilus harrisii (Tasmanian devil)
Lineage: Eukaryota; Metazoa; Chordata; Mammalia; Dasyuromorphia; Dasyuridae
Description: lncRNA (ENSSHAG00000021479.1)
Source: RNAcentral